GUAGGGAAUCUUCCGCAAUGGACGAAAGUCUGACGGAGCAACGCCGCGUGAACGAUGAAGGUCUUCGGAUCGUAAAGUUCUGUUGUUAGGGAAGAACAAGUACCGUGCGAAUAGAGCGGUACCUUGACGGUACCUAACGAGGAAGCCCCGGCUAACUACGUGCCAGCAGCCGCGGUAAUACGUAGGGGGCAAGCGUUGUCCGGAAUUAUUGGGCGUAAAGCGCGCGCAGGCGGUUUCUUAAGUCUGAUGUGAAAGCCCACGGCUCAACCGUGGAGGGUCAUUGGAAACUGGGGAACUUGAGGACAGAAGAGGAGAGUGGAAUUCCACGUGUAGCGGUGAAAUGCGUAGAUAUGUGGAGGAACACCAGUGGCGAAGGCGACUCUCUGGUCUGUUUCUGACGCUGAGGUGCGAAAGCGUGGGUAGCAAACAGGAUUAGAUACCCUGGUAGUCC
RNAcentral lists this ribosomal RNA (451 nucleotides) under uncultured bacterium. Its description in RNAcentral is "bacterial SSU rRNA". It matches the Rfam family "Bacterial small subunit ribosomal RNA", at positions 354 to 796 of the family's 1533-position model. The record is from RNAcentral.